GUGAGGAAUAUUGCGCAAUGGAGGCAACUCUGACGCAGCCAUGCCGCGUGCAGGAAGAAGGCGCUACGCGUUGUAAACUGCUUUUAACCGGGAAGAAACCCCAGGACGUGUCCUGGGUUGACGGUACCGGAGGAAUAAGCACCGGCUAACUUCGUGCCAGCAGCCGCGGUAAUACGAAGGGUGCAAGCGUUAUCCGGAUUCAUUGGGUUUAAAGGGUGCGUAGGCGGAGCGUUAAGUCAGUGGUGAAAUCCUGCAGCUUAACUGUAGACUUGCCAUUGAUACUGGCGCUCUUGAGUGCGCUUGAAGUGGGCGGAAUGUGCCGUGUAGCGGUGAAAUGCUUAGAUAUGAUACAGAACACCGAUAGCGAAGGCAGCUUGCUGAACCAUUAUUGACGCUGAGGCACGAAAGCGUGGGGAGCGAACAGGAUUAGAUACCCUUGUAGUCC
This 445-nucleotide ribosomal RNA is filed under the name uncultured bacterium. RNAcentral's name for it is "bacterial SSU rRNA". It matches the Rfam family "Bacterial small subunit ribosomal RNA", at positions 354 to 796 of the family's 1533-position model. The record is from RNAcentral.